GAGGGAGGAAGAUUUAACUUGGCAGCCCAAACAAAUGUUCUCUCUGAGAUCUCCAAGAAGCUGGCUGGCGGCUGGGCUGGCGGGGUACAGAUAAAGGGAUAGUGACUGGGGCUGGAGAAACAGGCGACUUGGCUGCUGGUGAAUCCCUGCCUGCCUCCCUAUGCUUGCACAGUGACUGGAGUGUAGAAGAGGGAAGAUUUGCCUGUGAGCUGUUUGUGAAGUUUAGAUGAGGGGGCAAGCUCAUGGUCUUUCUUAUCCGGACUGGUUUUUUUUUUAAGAGGUCCAAAGAAGGGGAAAUUCCUGUAGGAGCGUGUGCAAGGAGAUGGUGUUGUCCUCUGAGUUUUAUGGUUUUGGUUGUUUUGUUUUUCUCCAAAGGACAGAAGCAUCCCUGGCCCAGAGUCACACAGUUAGGAGACCUAGUUUUCUCAUAUGAAUCAGAAGUUUAGACUUGGGAACUUGGUGGCUGGGGCUGGGGGAGGAGCUAUAGAGUUUCCAAGACUUGAGCUGCUGUGGUUGUAAGACUUUCUGAGUAGUGCUCACAGGCUCACAGAGGGGACUGGACUUAGGAAAAAAGUUUGAAUAAAUAACCUUGUCUGUG
RNAcentral lists this long non-coding RNA (598 nucleotides) under Rattus norvegicus (Norway rat). RNAcentral describes it as "long non-coding RNA NONRATT011229". Lineage: Eukaryota; Metazoa; Chordata; Mammalia; Rodentia; Muridae. The record is from RNAcentral.